GGUCCGGCUAACUUCGUGCCAGCAGCCGCGGUAAUACGAAGGGACCUAGCGUAGUUCGGAAUUACUGGGCUUAAAGAGUUCGUAGGUGGUUAAAAAAGUUGGUGGUGAAAUCCCAGAGCUUAACUCUGGAACUGCCAUCAAAACUUUUUAGCUAGAGUAUGAUAGAGGAAAGCAGAAUUUCUAGUGUAGAGGUGAAAUUCGUAGAUAUUAGAAAGAAUACCAAUUGCGAAGGCAGCUUUCUGGAUCAUUACUGACGCUGAGGAACGAAAGCAUGGGUAGCGAAGAGGAUUAGAUACCCUCGUAGUCCAUGCCGUAAACGAUGUGUGUUAGACGUUGGAAAUUUAUUUUCAGUGUCGCAGUGAAAACAAUAAACACACCGCCUGGGGAGUACGACCGCAAGGUUAAAACUCAAAUGAAUUGACGGGGACCCGCACAAGUAGUGGAGCAUGUGGUUUAAUUCGAAGAUACGCGCAGAACCUUACCAACACUUGACAUGUUCGUCGCGACUCUAAGAGAUUAGAGUUUUCGGUUCGGCCGGACGAAACACAGGUGCUGCAUGGCUGUCGUCAGCUCGUGUCGUGAGAUGUUGGGUUAAGUCCCGCAACGAGCGCAACCCUUACUUUUAGUUGCCAUCAUUUAGUUGGGCACUCUGAAAGAACUGCCAGUGAUAAGCUGGAGGAAGGUGGGGAUGACGUCAAGUCCUCAUGGCCCUUACGUGUUGGGCUACACACGUGCUACAAUGGCAUCUACAACAGGAAGCAAAACGGCAACGUUAAGCAAAUCCCGAAAAGAUGCCUCAGUUCGGAUUGCACUCUGCAACUCGAGUGCAUGAAGCUGGAAUUACUAGUAAUCGCGGAUCAGCGUGCCGCGGUGAAUACGUUCCCGGGUCUUGUACACACCGCCCGUCACACCAUGGGAGUUGGUUCUACCUUAAGGCAAAG
RNAcentral lists this ribosomal RNA (941 nucleotides) under uncultured prokaryote. RNAcentral describes it as "bacterial SSU rRNA". It matches the Rfam family "Bacterial small subunit ribosomal RNA", at positions 490 to 1432 of the family's 1533-position model. The record is from RNAcentral.